AGUAGUUAAAAGAUAGAACAGUCUAGUCAAGUGCCAUGUCUCUUAUUCUUGAUCAGCUAUAGCUCUGGAGUUUUUGCAGAUUUUCAAAUAAAACUCAGAGAUUCCUUGUAUGACUCUCUCAUAUCUCUCUUUUGUGGUAUUUCUGGAUACUUACCAAGGCAGUGAUGGUAUAUGCCUUCUCUCAAGAUAUGUGGUAUUUAUGGUAUAAAGUAUAGUGACAUUGUGUUCUCUCUCACCCUACUCUAAUAAGGCUUUAAUAUCUGGAGCUCAUAGGUGGGAGAUAAAAUAUACAUACUCACAAGACAUUUAUUGCAUAGUCAAACCAUGGAUCCAAAGAAACAAGUCAAUAAGUUUAAUCAAGAUGUGCAUGUGUGGCGAAUGAAUGGUGUAUGGUGAUGAUGGUGA
This 405-nucleotide long non-coding RNA is filed under the name Sorghum bicolor (sorghum). RNAcentral's name for it is "long non-coding RNA (SBIC_LNC005275)". The record is from RNAcentral. Lineage: Eukaryota; Viridiplantae; Streptophyta; Magnoliopsida; Poales; Poaceae.